RNAcentral lists this unclassified non-coding RNA (335 nucleotides) under soil metagenome. RNAcentral describes it as "partial contains 5.8S ribosomal RNA, internal transcribed spacer 2, and large subunit ribosomal RNA". The stretch from base 1 to 120 matches the Rfam family "5.8S ribosomal RNA", at positions 35 to 154 of the family's 154-position model. The record is from RNAcentral.
GAUGAAGAACGCAGCGAAAUGCGAAAAGUAAUGUGAAUUGCAGAAUUCAGUGAAUCAUCGAAUCUUUGAACGCACAUUGCGCCCGCCAGUAUUCUGGCGGGCAUGCCUGUUCGAGCGUCAUUUCAACCAUCAAGCCCCCGGCUUGUGUUGGGGACCUGCGGCUGCCGCAGGCCCUGAAAACCAGUGGCGGGCUCGCUAGUCACUCCGAGCGUAGUAAUACAUCUCGCUCAGGGCGUGCUGCGGGUUCCGGCCGUUAAAAAGCCUUAUUUACCCAAGGUUGACCUCGGAUCAGGUAGGAAGACCCGCUGAACUUAAGCAUAUCAAUAAGCGGAGGA